UACAGAGACUGCAAGCGUUAUUCGGAUUCACUGGGCGUAAGGGGUGCGCAGGCGGCCAAGUGUGUCAGGUGUGAAAUCCCGGAGCUUAACUCCGGAACUGCGCCUGAAACUACUUGGCUAGAGCAUUGGAGAGGGAAGUGGAAUUCACGGUGUAGCAGUGAAAUGCGUAGAUAUCGUGAGGAACACCAGAGGCGAAGGCGACUUCCUGGACAAUUGCUGACGCUCAGGCACGAAAGCGUGGGGAGCCAAAGGG
Molecule: ribosomal RNA, 253 nt
Filed under: uncultured bacterium
Lineage: Bacteria
Description: partial 16S ribosomal RNA
Rfam family: Bacterial small subunit ribosomal RNA
Source: RNAcentral